Molecule: ribosomal RNA, 253 nt
Filed under: uncultured bacterium
Lineage: Bacteria
Description: partial 16S ribosomal RNA
Rfam family: Bacterial small subunit ribosomal RNA
Source: RNAcentral
UACGGAGGGUGCGAGCGUUAUCCGGAAUUACUGGGUUUAAAGGGUGCGUAGGCGGCUGUAUAAGUCGGGGGUGAAAGCAUGGAGCUUAACUGCAUAAUUGCCUUCGAUACUGUAAAGCUGGAAUUAAGUUGAGGUUGGCGGAAUGUGACAUGUAGCGGUGAAAUGCAUAGAUAUGUCAUAGAACACCGAUUGCGUAGGCAGCUGACUGAGCUUAAAUUGACGCUGAGGCACGAAAGCGUGGGGAGCGAACAGG